Molecule: non-coding RNA, 48 nt
Filed under: Yersinia enterocolitica (type O:5) str. YE53/03
Lineage: Bacteria; Pseudomonadati; Pseudomonadota; Gammaproteobacteria; Enterobacterales; Yersiniaceae
Also listed under: 5 other names
Rfam family: Guanidine-II riboswitch aptamer (mini-ykkC)
About the family: Simpler in structure and has fewer highly conserved nucleotide positions than the ykkC-yxkD leader. Despite this each of its two stem-loop structures directly bind free guanidine.
Source: RNAcentral
UGCCUGGGACGACCCGGCACGCAUCUGUUUUUUUCGGGGACGACCCCG